AUGCAACGUAGAGACUCGAGUUAAACUCCAAUAAAAGUUUAUGGACUUCAGGCAGAAAAUGAGAUUAUCCAUAAGAAUGGGGAAACAGGCGAACUCAACACACAGAGCUGGGGGCAGCAGCUGAACUGCAGUGAGGCUAUAGGCUUCUUCCUUGCUUUAUGGGACUUCGGUCCUGCUGCUUGGAGCCUGAUACGAACUGUCCUAGCAGUGCACUUCACACCUGCACUUAAUGUUUCCUGUUCCUUUUGAAGAUCACUUGAUGUCAUCCUACGACUCAUGAGAAACCUGUCGGAUAAGAUAGGGUGACCAGAUAAUCCACGUCAGGGAGGACACUCUGAGCUAGGACUGGAUUUGUAUGCUACCUUUUCAAUUAAAAGAACCCGGAUUUCACUUAAACACUGAGUCCUAUAUUAUAUUGUAUAUUGCGAUAUAAUUACAUAUGGCUAUUGUCUUGUCUUGUCUUUACUUGACUGUGUCUGUACCCACUGCCUGUGUGUGAAACACUGACAACCGGAGACAAAUUCCUUAUGUGUGAACAUACUUAGCCAGUAAACUGGAUUCUGAUUCUAUUAUUGGUAGAAGGUUUUACUUGAAUACACAGUGACACAAAAGCAAUGUUUCACCCUUGACAUUCAUUCACUGUACAAGCCAUGGUGCAAUAUUCUUCAUUUCUGAGCCAUUACUCCAGAAUUGCAUGCAAUACCUUCCCUGACAUUCUUUGCACUGCUUCUGAUUAUUGAAGAUUGCGUCAGAAGGGCGGUGAGCCCAAGGCGAGGUGAAAACACAGGAACGGAGAAAUGAGGGAUUUGAUUAAAUGUGUAUUUCAGCGCGUUUCCAUGUAAGAAUUUGACACGUUAGCUCGAAUGGCAUUUUCCUAAUUAACUAAUAUCACAGUGUAGAUUCACUUCUUAAUCCUCUUGAAGCUGUAAUUAAUAGCAGUGAGAUCCAGCCACUUGAAUUUUCUCCUUCGUAUUACAUCACCGUUGUAUCUGGCUUUUUAGGGCAGCAAGGGUAGCUCAGAUUACCAGUAAAUACAUCAUCAUUUGGAAAUUAGGCUUGAAAAUGACCGGUAAAUAAAUUGUGUUUUGGAAAUUAGGCUGACAAAAUCCCAUCCUGAAACUUCAAUCUAACAUCUGACAUGUGUACUUCCUCCUGACCUUUGAAGAUAGUGAGGCGUGAGAGUUGUUCCUUGGAGACAUACACCAGGUGUUAGAAAGUGUUACCGAGUUCCUCUUUGUGUUUCUCAGGUUGCAGUGAUGGGUUGAAGGCAAUGCUUCUCCGCUUGCCUAUUCACCCGCCUAAAACUCUAGUUUUGUCUUUUUCUAUUUCUGUCAUCUGUUUUAAACUUCUACAUCAGGCAAUCUAGUCUAGUGUGUGGAAAAGACUCCCAAAAAGGUUACUCUGGAUAAGACAGUAGGUCCAGAACAUCCCAUAUUGGACUCUGUGUUCAUUCUAAAGUACAAAUCCAGACCAAGAUUUUGUUUCAACCAACCAGUUAAGUACUCUGACUGUGACUCUCUAUACUCAACUGGUUGGUUCAAACAAAAUCUUGGUCUGAAUUUGUACUUUCUGAAUCUGAACUUUCCACCUCUGGUUGAAUUUAAACUCAAUGGCCAGGAGCUAGAGGAGCUCACGCCAAAUGUUUGCCUUUAGUCUGCAAUGCUACCCCCUUGUGGUCAGACACUAGAUUACGCCCAACCAAAUCAUUGGCCACAUCACCUCAGCCCAUGCUGUAAACUGUUUAAGCCAGACAGGGGGAUCUAUGAAGAGUCUGGUGGAGCAAAAUGGGGGAACACCAUGCAAAAUCAAACAUCAAAAGAACAUCAAAGCCAUUCCACACAAUGAGAAAACAACCAAGAAGCAGAAAUCCGGGUGGGAGAUUAUGGUUCUGGUGUCAAAACCAAAGUCAGGAUUUCAGGACGAAAUAACAGUAUUGUUACAUUCUUUUCAGAAACAAGGGGUGGUCAUCUCUACAUGCUAAAAGACAUAGGAAGGACCUAUAACCAACCGCACUUAAUGAUUUGCUGCGAUUCAACCAAAUCCAUCCAUCAUCUGACCACUUAACCUGGUGAGGUUCACGAGGAGCCCCUCCCAGGCAGCACAGGGCAAGCUGCUGAUCACCCUGAACAGGAUGCUGGUCCACACAUAAUGGCACAACCAGACACUACUGGCAAGUCAGAGACACCAGCCAACCUAACUGCAUGUCUUCGGACUACGGGAGAAAAUCUGCACAAAACAGGGAGGACAUGCACACCGCAGAUACUGAGCAAAGGUGGGAUACAACCCAACAGCCCUGGAGGUGUGAGGCAGUCAUGCGUGGAGAUGCUGCUUUAAUUGCAGAAUAUCAUAUUCACAUGCAUGUCAUAUCUGAUUACUGUAAACCAAGAAAGUCUGUUUGACCCUCGUGGUUGAUGUUGUGGAGUUGACAUGUGGAAGAAAACGUCAAGGCGUGUAAGAAAUGCAUACGUGUCUAAAAAUUAAAUCCUGCGAACAUGUGGCAAGCGCAGACAUCUCUAAAGCAGAGAGGAGGACGACGGAGCCGGUGGAGAAGAACGUCUGUGACAGACCGCCUAGGACGGAGACAGGGCUCACAUGACAGCUGAGCACAUGGACUUGGCUUGUCACCAUGGAGAA
Molecule: long non-coding RNA, 2634 nt
Organism: Brienomyrus brachyistius
Lineage: Eukaryota; Metazoa; Chordata; Actinopteri; Osteoglossiformes; Mormyridae
Exons: 3
Source: RefSeq, a predicted model, not a curated record